Molecule: ribosomal RNA, 545 nt
Filed under: Dujonia zeylanoides
Lineage: Eukaryota; Fungi; Ascomycota; Pichiomycetes; Serinales; Debaryomycetaceae
Description: eukaryotic LSU rRNA
Rfam family: Eukaryotic large subunit ribosomal RNA
Source: RNAcentral
GCGAGUGAAGCGGCAAAAGCUCAAAUUUGAAAUCUAGCACUUUCAGUGUUCGAGUUGUAAUUUGAAGAAGGUAACUUUGGUUUUGGCUCUUGUCUAUGUUCCUUGGAACAGGACGUCACAGAGGGUGAGAAUCCCGUGCGAUGAGAUGCCCAAUUCCAUGUAAAGUGCUUUCGAAGAGUCGAGUUGUUUGGGAAUGCAGCUCUAAGUGGGUGGUAAAUUCCAUCUAAAGCUAAAUAUUGGCGAGAGACCGAUAGCGAACAAGUACAGUGAUGGAAAGAUGAAAAGAACUUUGAAAAGAGAGUGAAAAAGUACGUGAAAUUGUUGAAAGGGAAGGGCUUGAGAUCAGACUUGGUAUUUUGCGUUCCCUUCCUUUUUGGUUGGGUUCCUCGCAGUUUACUGGGCCAGCAUCGGUUUGGAUGGUAGGAUAAUGACAUUGGAAUGUAGCUUUACUUCGGUGAAGUGUUAUAGACUUUGUUGAUACUGCCUAUCUAGACCGAGGACUGCGUCUUUGACUAGGAUGCUGGCGUAAUGAUCUUAAGCCGCCC